RNAcentral lists this ribosomal RNA (134 nucleotides) under uncultured eukaryote. RNAcentral describes it as "partial small subunit ribosomal RNA". It matches the Rfam family "Eukaryotic small subunit ribosomal RNA", at positions 1651 to 1792 of the family's 1831-position model. The record is from RNAcentral.
CCCUGCCAUUUGUACACACCGCCCGUCGCUCCUACCGAUUUCGAGUGAUGUGGUGAAUCUUAUGGACUGCGGCAGGCUUCAGUCUGCUGCGGAAAGUUUGGUGAACCUUAUCACUUAGAGGAAGGAGAAGUCGU